UUUUUUUUUGUCUUCUCCCAGUGAUCCAGUUUUUUGACACUGCCAGGGUGGAUCGUACCCGGAGCUGGCUCUAUGCUGCCUGUUCUAUCUCCUAUCUGGGUGCCAUGGUCUCCAGCAAUUCAGCACUACAGUUUGUCAACUACCCAACUCAGGUCCUUGGUAAAUCCUGCAAGCCAAUCCCAGUCAUGCUCCUUGGGGUGACCCUCUUGAAGAAGAAGUACCCGUUGGCCAAGUACCUGUGUGUGCUGUUAAUUGUGGCUGGAGUGGCCCUUUUCAUGUACAAACCCAAGAAAGUUGUUGGGAUAGAAGAACACACAGUCGGCUAUGGAGAGCUACUCUUGGUAUGAGAUCCUGUUGGGGAAGGCACCCUUUUCCAGCAAACUUAACCAAAGG
Molecule: small RNA, 393 nt
Filed under: Pan troglodytes (chimpanzee)
Lineage: Eukaryota; Metazoa; Chordata; Mammalia; Primates; Hominidae
Description: retained intron
Source: RNAcentral